GACGAACGCUGGCGGCGUGCUUAACACAUGCAAGUCGAACGAGGAUUAUAGGAAUGAGAGCUUCGGCAGGAUUUCCGGUAAUUCGAGUGGCGGACGGGUGAGUAACGCGUGAACAAUCUGUCCCAGACAGGGGGAUAACACUUGGAAACAGGUGCUAAUACCGCAUAAGACCACGGCAUCGCAUGGUGCAGGGGUAAAAGGAGCGAUCCGGUUUGGGGUGAGUUCGCGUCCGAUUAGAUAGUUGGUGAGGUAACGGCCCACAAGUCGACGAUCGGUAGCCGACCUGAGAGGGUGAUCGGCCACAUUGGAACUGAGAGACGGUCCAA
This 326-nucleotide ribosomal RNA is filed under the name uncultured bacterium. RNAcentral describes it as "bacterial SSU rRNA". It matches the Rfam family "Bacterial small subunit ribosomal RNA", at positions 28 to 334 of the family's 1533-position model. The record is from RNAcentral.